GGGGGAAUAUUGGGCAAUGGGGCGCAAGCCUGACCCAGCAACGCCGCGUGAAGGAAGAAGGCCCUCGGGUUGUAAACUUCUUUUAUCAAGGACGAAGAAAGUGACGGUACUUGAUGAAUAAGCCACGGCUAACUACGUGCCAGCAGCCGCGGUAAUACGUAGGUGGCAAGCGUUAUCCGGAUUUACUGGGUGUAAGGGCGUGUAGGCGGGAUGGUAAGUCAGAUGUGAAAACUCAGGGCUCAACCCUGAGCCUGCAUUUGAAACUAUCGUUCUUGAGUGUUGGAGAGGCAGGCGGAAUUCCGUGUGUAGCGGUGAAAUGCGUAGAUAUACGGAGGAACACCAGUGGCGAAGGCGGCCUGCUGGACAAUAACUGACGCUGAGGCGCGAAAGCGUGGGGAGCAAACAGGAUUAGAUACCC
Molecule: ribosomal RNA, 418 nt
Filed under: uncultured bacterium
Lineage: Bacteria
Description: bacterial SSU rRNA
Rfam family: Bacterial small subunit ribosomal RNA
Source: RNAcentral